This is a long non-coding RNA of Austrofundulus limnaeus, 204 nucleotides long. RefSeq lists it as uncharacterized. Lineage: Eukaryota; Metazoa; Chordata; Actinopteri; Cyprinodontiformes; Rivulidae. The transcript has 3 exons. The record is from RefSeq and is a predicted model, not a curated record.
GUUUUUGGAUGCUGUGCAGUGGCAGCUGAGGUUUUGUGCAGAGGAAUCGGAAACCAUGAAGGGCUGCACUUUUUUGCUUUUUCUGGGUUUUCUUCUUAUCUGUGGCAGCAGUGUUUUUCCACCUGAUUCUUGUGAUAAUUACAAAAACAUAACUGAACCAUGGCGUAACUCUGGAUAUAAAUCUACUUCCUUCCUGGGCUUCCC